Molecule: ribosomal RNA, 253 nt
Filed under: uncultured bacterium
Lineage: Bacteria
Description: partial 16S ribosomal RNA
Rfam family: Bacterial small subunit ribosomal RNA
Source: RNAcentral
CACGUAAGGGGCAAGCGUUGUUCGGAUUUAUUGGGCGUAAAGGGCGUGUAGGCGGUUGUCCAAGCCUGGUGUGAAAGGCUCUGGCUUAACCAGAGUUAGGCGCUGGGAACUGGGCGACUAGAGUUCAGGAGGGGAAGCUGGAAUUCCUGGUGUAGGGGUGAAAUCUGUAGAUAUCAGGAAGAACACCGGUGGCGAAGGCGAGCUUCUGGCCAUGGACUGACGCUGAGGCGCGAAAGCGUGGGGAGCAAACAGG